This 1189-nucleotide ribosomal RNA is filed under the name Escherichia coli. RNAcentral's name for it is "partial 23S ribosomal RNA". It matches the Rfam family "Bacterial large subunit ribosomal RNA", at positions 1 to 1230 of the family's 2925-position model. The record is from RNAcentral. Lineage: Bacteria; Pseudomonadati; Pseudomonadota; Gammaproteobacteria; Enterobacterales; Enterobacteriaceae.
GGUUAAGCGACUAAGCGUACACGGUGGAUGCCCUGGCAGUCAGAGGCGAUGAAGGACGUGCUAAUCUGCGAUAAGCGUCGGUAAGGUGAUAUGAACCGUUAUAACCGGCGAUUUCCGAAUGGGGAAACCCAGUGUGUUUCGACACACUAUCAUUAACUGAAUCCAUAGGUUAAUGAGGCGAACCGGGGGAACUGAAACAUCUAAGUACCCCGAGGAAAAGAAAUCAACCGAGAUUCCCCCAGUAGCGGCGAGCGAACGGGGAGCAGCCCAGAGCCUGAAUCAGUGUGUGUGUUAGUGGAAGCGUCUGGAAAGGCGCGCGAUACAGGGUGACAGCCCCGUACACAAAAAUGCACAUGCUGUGAGCUCGAUGAGUAGGGCGGGACACGUGGUAUCCUGUCUGAAUAUGGGGGGACCAUCCUCCAAGGCUAAAUACUCCUGACUGACCGAUAGUGAACCAGUACCGUGAGGGAAAGGCGAAAAGAACCCCGGCGAGGGGAGUGAAAAAGAACCUGAAACCGUGUACGUACAAGCAGUGGGAGCACGCUUAGGCGGGUGACUGCGUACCUUUUGUAUAAUGGGUCAGCGACUUAUAUUCUGUAGCAAGGUUAACCGAAUAGGGGAGCCGAAGGGAAACCGAGUCUUAACUGGGCGUUAAGUUGCAGGGUAUAGACCCGAAACCCGGUGAUCUAGCCAUGGGCAGGUUGAAGGUUGGGUAACACUAACUGGAGGACCGAACCGACUAAUGUUGAAAAAUUAGCGGAUGACUUGUGGCUGGGGGUGAAAGGCCAAUCAAACCGGGAGAUAGCUGGUUCUCCCCGAAAGCUAUUUAGGUAGCGCCUCGUGAAUUCAUCUCCGGGGGUAGAGCACUGUUUCGGCAAGGGGGUCAUCCCGACUUACCAACCCGAUGCAAACUGCGAAUACCGGAGAAUGUUAUCACGGGAGACACACGGCGGGUGCUAACGUCCGUCGUGAAGAGGGAAACAACCCAGACCGCCAGCUAAGGUCCCAAAGUCAUGGUUAAGUGGGAAACGAUGUGGGAAGGCCCAGACAGCCAGGAUGUUGGCUUAGAAGCAGCCAUCAUUUAAAGAAAGCGUAAUAGCUCACUGGUCGAGUCGGCCUGCGCGGAAGAUGUAACGGGGCUAAACCAUGCACCGAAGCUGCGGCAGCGACGCUUAUGCGUUGUUGGGUA